This 1531-nucleotide ribosomal RNA is filed under the name Emiliania huxleyi. RNAcentral describes it as "Bacterial small subunit ribosomal RNA". It matches the Rfam family "Bacterial small subunit ribosomal RNA". The record is from RNAcentral. Lineage: Eukaryota; Haptophyta; Isochrysidales; Noelaerhabdaceae.
UGAAGAGUUUGAUCAUGGCUCAGAUUGAACGCUGGCGGCAGGCCUAACACAUGCAAGUCGAGCGGAAACGAUCCUAGCUUGCUAGGAGGCGUCGAGCGGCGGACGGGUGAGUAAUGCAUAGGAAUCUGCCCGGUAGUGGGGGAUAACCUGGGGAAACCCAGGCUAAUACCGCAUACGCCCUACGGGGGAAAGCAGGGGAUCUUCGGACCUUGCGCUAUCGGAUGAGCCUAUGUCGGAUUAGCUAGUUGGUGAGGUAACGGCUCACCAAGGCUGCGAUCCGUAGCUGGUCUGAGAGGAUGAUCAGCCACAUCGGGACUGAGACACGGCCCGAACUCCUACGGGAGGCAGCAGUGGGGAAUAUUGGACAAUGGGCGAAAGCCUGAUCCAGCCAUGCCGCGUGUGUGAAGAAGGCCUUCGGGUUGUAAAGCACUUUCAGUGAGGAAGAAAGCCUUGAGGUUAAUACCCUCGAGGGAGGACAUCACUCACAGAAGAAGCACCGGCUAACUCCGUGCCAGCAGCCGCGGUAAUACGGAGGGUGCGAGCGUUAAUCGGAAUUACUGGGCGUAAAGCGCGCGUAGGCGGCUUGAUAAGCCGGUUGUGAAAGCCCCGGGCUCAACCUGGGAACGGCAUCCGGAACUGUCAGGCUAGAGUGCAGGAGAGGAAGGUAGAAUUCCCGGUGUAGCGGUGAAAUGCGUAGAGAUCGGGAGGAAUACCAGUGGCGAAGGCGGCCUUCUGGACUGACACUGACGCUGAGGUGCGAAAGCGUGGGUAGCAAACAGGAUUAGAUACCCUGGUAGUCCACGCCGUAAACGAUGUCGACUAGCCGUUGGGCUCCUUGAGAGCUUUGUGGCGCAGUUAACGCGAUAAGUCGACCGCCUGGGGAGUACGGCCGCAAGGUUAAAACUCAAAUGAAUUGACGGGGGCCCGCACAAGCGGUGGAGCAUGUGGUUUAAUUCGAUGAUACGCGAGGAACCUUACCAGGGCUUAAAUGUAAGUUGCAUUAGUUAGAGAUAGCUAUUUCUUCGGACCACUUACAAGGUGCUGCAUGGUUGUCGUCAGCUCGUGCCGUGAGGUGUCAGGUUAAGUCCUAUAACGAGCGCAACCCCUGUUGUUAGUUGCCAGCGAGUCAUGUCGGGAACUCUAACAAGACUGCCAGUGCAAACUGUGAGGAAGGUGGGGAUGACGUCAAAUCAUCACGGCCCUUACGUCCUGGGCUACACACGUGCUACAAUGGAACGCACAGAGGGCAGCAAACCCGCGAGGGGGAGCGAAUCCCACAAAACGUUUCGUAGUCCGGAUCGGAGUCUGCAACUCGACUCCGUGAAGUCGGAAUCGCUAGUAAUCGUGAAUCAGAAUGUCACGGUGAAUACGUUCCCGGGCCUUGUACACACCGCCCGUCACACCAUGGGAGUGGACUGCACCAGAAGUGGUUAGCCUAACUUCGGAGGGCGAUCACCACGGUGUGGUUCAUGACUGGGGUGAAGUCGUAACAAGGUAGCCGUAGGGGAACCUGCGGCUGGAUCACCUCCUU